UUAGGAACUCCCGAGAAUUCAAUCCAACAGAAAUAAAGAAACUUUCUUCUCCGGCAAGACAUAUAAAUCUCCGAUUCGAAAUUGGAGAACAUGGUGAGAGAUAUUGAUGCUGAGAUUAGAGACGACCAAUGGCGUAGCGAAGCAUUCUUCGUCAAAGUCUCUGACUCUCUCCACGCCAUUUACGUUCCGAUGAAAUCCAACUACGGCAGUUUGUUUACAUUCGCCUCGCUGAUUCCUUUCACCCUGGCCUCUGUUUCGCCGGCGACGAAAAAGAAGAAUCUUGUUGAGAUGAGGAUGAGUUUGGAUUCCACGAGAAGGAGUUGUUGGGAUCAGAGUCCUCCGGUGAUUCAUCGCCGUGACGCCGCAUUGCUUCUUUCUUCACCACGUCUCAAACCCAAAUCGGGGUUAGGGCCUUACUCUGCACCUAUCAAGAAAGCUGAGAAAGAGAUUUAAGGAACUCGCCAAGAAGAUCAACGAUCUAUGUGGUACCAAGGAGUCUGAUGGUUUAGCUCGUCCCAGUCAAUGGGAUCUUGUAUCUGAUAAGCAAAUGAUGCAAGAGGAGCAACCUCUGCAGGUUGCGAGAUGCACAAAGAUAAUAAUGCCAAACACUG
Long non-coding RNA from Capsella rubella, 611 nucleotides. RefSeq lists it as uncharacterized. The transcript is spliced from 4 exons. NCBI's taxonomy places the organism in Eukaryota, Viridiplantae, Streptophyta, Magnoliopsida, Brassicales, Brassicaceae. The record is from RefSeq and is a predicted model, not a curated record.